This 1827-nucleotide ribosomal RNA is filed under the name Triticum aestivum (bread wheat). RNAcentral's name for it is "partial small subunit ribosomal RNA". Lineage: Eukaryota; Viridiplantae; Streptophyta; Magnoliopsida; Poales; Poaceae. The record is from RNAcentral.
AUGGGUGGCGUCUGUUCAAGGAAGCGAAGCCAAUUGGUGGAGGAGGACGACGACUCUCUCCAGACACCGACGAGGUUCUCGAAGACCAGCAGCUUGAAAUGGCUGCUGCUCACGCUGCCCCGCAGCAGCUCCGAUGUCUCCCGCAAGGGACCAGGGAAGGGCCCUGGCCGGUGCCCGGCACUCAUGGAGCUCUGUGUCGCCAAAGUCUGCAAGGAUAUCAGUAAGUAUUCUACUCUUGCUAUGCUGCCGAGUGAUCUCAGCCAGCAGAUUUUCGAUGAACUGGUGGACUCGAACUGCCUCACGGAGGAAUCACUUGAAACCUUUCGGGAUUGUGCGCUGCAUGACAUUUGUUUGGGGGAGUAUCCUGGAGUUAAGGAUGCCUGGAUGGAAGUAGUGGCUUCACAAAGGCAGUCAUUAUUGUCCGUUGACAUUUCUUGCUCUGAAGUUACUGACAGUGGCUUAAAUUUUCUUAGUGAUUGCUCAAACAUGCAAAGCUUAUCAUGUAAUUACUGUGACAAUGUCUCAGAACAUGGCCUUGGAGUUUUGUCAGGUUUCUCAUACUUGACAUCUUUAAGUUUCAAGAGAAGUGGCGGUGUUACUGCUGAAGGAAUGAGAGUGUUUGCAAAUUUAGUUAAUUUGGUAAAUCUUGACCUUGAGCGAUGCCUGAAGAUUCAUGGUGGCCUGGUUCAUGUGAAAGGCCUGAGAAAGCUGGAGUCACUUAAUAUGAGAUAUUGUAACUACAUUACAGAUUCAGAUAUCAAGUAUUUAUCAGAUCUCACAAAUUUGAAGGAACUGCAAUUGUCUUCUUGCAGAAUUACAGAUCUGGGUAUUUCUUAUCUUACAGGCUUGUCUAAGUUAACUCAUCUUAACUUGGAGAGCUGUCCAGUGACCGCUGCAUGCUUGGAAGCUAUCUCAGGAUUGGCUUCACUGAUGUUGUUGAAUUUGAAUCGGUGUGGCAUAUAUGAUGAAGGCUGCGGAAGCUUUGAAGAUCUUAAAAAUUUGAAGGUCUUAAAUUUGGGCUUUAACCAUAUUACAGAUGCAUGUUUGGUGCAUCUGAAAGGACUAACCAAUUUGGAGUCCUUAAACCUGGAUUCAUGCAAGAUCGGAGAUGAAGGUCUACUACAUCUGAAGGGCCUUGUGUUAUUGAAAAGCUUGGAGCUUUCUGACACUGCAAUUGGAAGCAACGGGCUCCAGCAUCUUUCUGGUCUUCGGAAUUUGCACAGCAUAAAUCUCUCAUUUACAUUGGUUACAGACACUGGCAUGAAGAAGAUCUCCAUGUUGAAUUCACUGAAGUCAGUUAAUCUUGACAAUCGCCUGAUAACUGAUGUUGGCUUAGCAGCACUCAUAGGUCUUACUGGGUUGACUCAUCUUGACCUUUUCGGAGCUCGGGUGACUGACCAUGGGACAAGCUUCUUGAGAUAUUUCAAGAAUCUCGAGUCCCUUGAGGUAUGCGGUGGGUCAAUCACUGAUGCUGGAGUGAAGAAUAUCAAGGACCUCAAAGCUCUGACGCUCCUCAACCUUUCGCAAAAUGCCAAGCUGACAGACAAAACCCUGGAGCUGAUUUCUGGUACUAUUUCGUCCUCCCUGUCAACAUGGCAUCUGCUUGUACGUGCUCAUUGUCUGACGGAUCUGGUUUUUACAGGCUUGACCGCUUUGAUCUCCUUGAAUGUCUCCAACUCUCGGGUGUCCAACUCCGGUCUCCGUCACCUGAAGGCGCUGCAGAACCUGCGCUCGCUGACGCUGGAUUCGUGCAGGGUGACAGCGAAUGAGAUGAAGAAGCUCAGGGUGACAGCGCUCCCCAAUCUGAUAAGUGUUCGGCCUGAGUAG